RNAcentral lists this transfer RNA (78 nucleotides) under Vibrio paracholerae 877-163. RNAcentral describes it as "Vibrio cholerae O16 str. 877-163 tRNA-Pro". Lineage: Bacteria; Pseudomonadati; Pseudomonadota; Gammaproteobacteria; Vibrionales; Vibrionaceae. The record is from RNAcentral.
AAUUCAGUAAUUUAGCAUGGUCAAGCUACCGUCAUGGGGUGUCGGGGGUCGGAGGUUCAAAUCCUCUCAGUCCGACCA